This 391-nucleotide ribosomal RNA is filed under the name uncultured bacterium. RNAcentral describes it as "partial 16S ribosomal RNA". It matches the Rfam family "Bacterial small subunit ribosomal RNA", at positions 523 to 918 of the family's 1533-position model. The record is from RNAcentral.
CUACAUAGGGGGCAAGCGUUAUCCGGAAUUAUUGGGCGUAAAGCGUGCGUAGGCGGUUUAUUAAGUCUGAUGUUAAAUCCCACAGCUCAACUGUGGGCUGCCAUUGGAAACUGGUAGACUUGAGUGCGGUAGAGGUAAGUGGAAUUCCAAGUGGAGCGGUGGAAUGCGUAGAUAUUUGGAGGAACACCAGUGGCGAAGGCGGUUUACUGGGCCGUGACUGACGCGGGGGCACGAAAGCGGGGGGAGCAAAAAGGAUUAGAUAGCCUGGUAGUCCCCGCAGGAAACGAUGAGCACUAAGUGUCGGAUGAAUUUUCGGCGCUGCAGUUAACACAAUAUGUGCUCCGCCUGGGGAGUACGGUCGCAAGACUGAAACUUAAAGGAAUUGACGGGG